UCAAGCUGGGGAAAAAAAAAAAAAGGCGGGUUUAUCUUAUUUCCUGUAUUUUUAUUGUCAAACUGUGUCAGAACACAUUGUUUGGGGCCAGGAACAGAAAACAUUUUAGUUUUAAGGAAACAAAUCACUAGAUAACAAUUUUCUAAAUACUAGUUAUUUACUCAUUUAAAAUUUGUGGAGUAAUUUUUAUAUACCAAGUGUUAGGACUACAUAGAAGAAACAACACAAGGUUCCUUUUCACUUGAGGAAUUUACUAUUUGUCAUACUCUUCUUGUUCCCACAAGUUUUACUACUGUUUUUCAAAUUCUUAAUGAUCUCUUCACUCUUGAUUAAUUUCCUUUCCUAGAUAUCCAAUAGUUUUAGAAAAUGGAUAAAAAGGGAGAGAAGGUAAACCACUUACUGAGGUGUACCUAGGUACCAUGUCAGUGCAUUAUAUAUGUUAUUUCCUAACAAUCUUUAGGGUAGAUAUCAUUGCCUACAUGCAUAUUUUAUUUAAGAUGAAGAUACUGGGGCUCCCAAAGCUCCCAAAAUGUGUCCACAUUCAGACAACUUGGAUGUAGUACUUUUGGGGCCAUGUUUUUUCCACUGGAAUUAUUAAGUAAAACUUGUCCCACAUUUCCUUAGGGCUGUUUCUUUAACUGAAACAAAUCAGGGAUAAUAAAAAGAAGUUCGCUCUAUUAACUAACUCCUAAUUCCUACUUGGGACCUGUCACUCCCUUUGAUUUCUAAAUGGAGUUUCAUCAUUAUUUUCUCUGUAGGAAUUCUGGUAAACCAUAGUAUUUCCAGGUUUGCCAAAGAGGUCAGAGUCCAUGGUCAAUAAAUCUUUGAGACCACAUAAAGAUACUUUGGUAUGUUUCUUCUGGCACUUAAAUAACAUUUCAUAUUAUGUAAAUACUAGUCUUGUUCUUUCCACUGGACUUUGGACUUUUUUUCUCUAGUAUUUCUUUUUUGUUUGUUUUUUCAGACUUGAUCUCUCUAUGUUGCCCAGGCUGGCUUAGAACUUAGAACUCAGAUCCUUCUGCCUUAUCAUCCUGGCUUUCUGCUGUUUCUCAAAGGGCCCAUGAUAAUUCCUUGCAGCAAGCACCAAACCAUCUACUAACAUGUUUUUUGGGCACACUAUUACACUAGUGCCUAGAACCCGAGGGCCCAGGACCUCUACCCUCUGCCUGACCUGGUCCGGAAGCGCUGUCCCCGCCUCCCGCAUAGCGGCCACUCGUCGGUGCAGCGCGGCCGACUGAUCCACCAGAGACUCGGCGGCCGCAUCGUGCUCCCGCAGCCUCUCCAGCAGUGUCUUGGCGUCUGUCAGGAUCUUCUCGAUGGUGCAGUUCAUAGCGGUGCUGGGAAUCUAACCCAUACAUGCUAGGCAAGUGCUCUACCACUUGGCUACAUCUUCCAGCCCAGUCAACCCUUCUUAAGUGUACAUAUAGUUCGGUAAUUAGGUGUAUUCAAAUUGUGCAACCAUCAUCAACAGUCAUCUCCUGAACGCGUCCAUCUUGCAAAAUUGGAACUCUAUAGCUAUUAAGCAAUUCUCUUUCUCCUCUCUAAGAUCCUGUCAAUUACUAUUCUACUUUCUGUUUGUGUAAAUCUAACUAGUCAUAAGUACCUCAGGUAAGUGGAAUUGUUGUGGUGUAAACUAAUAAAUAAAAUCAGUAAGAGUAUAAGUUAUAGGUUAUAGAUUAGUAAAAAAAUAUAGAUUAUAGAUAUGAUAAGUAAGGUAAGACCAUUAUAAAGCAAGAACCGUCAUAGACAGGCUUAAGACUCCAUUUUGUUGCCUUCUAUAAAAAUCUGUUUCUAUGAAACCUGUUUUCUUAUAACAAAUUGUAUCGCACUCAGGAUGCAGCGGUGGUAUGGUGAACUACAUCCUGGGUUUGAGUGCACGUGUGGGUCUACAUGACUUUGAAAUAGAUUCUAGCCCCUGCCAACCCCUGCUCAAACUCAGUCUAGCAUCUGCUUGAACCCAGGAAUUGCAAAGCUAAUUGCUUUUCUCUAGCUUCUGUACUUGCUUGCUUGCUAACUGGAAAAUUAGCCACUGAGUUGUGGUUUUUGUCCAUAAAUUCUCAAAAAAAUGGACCAGGAAGCUUCUGUUCUACAGAGCUUCAGUCUCUUUGGGUGGGUGACUGUCCCUGGCCAGGUAAAUAAAGCUCUCAUUGAUUUGAAUUUAGACUUAAGAGUGUUUUCUGAAGCAGCUUCCCAUAACAGAACCAUACAGUAUUUGUGUUUUGGGGACUGACAUUUACCUUAGUAUAAUGUUCUCAAGGUUCAUCCAUAUUUUAGUAUGUGUCAGAAUUUCUUUCCUUUCUAAAGGCUAAUAAUAUUACAUUGUAUGUAUAUUUUACAUUUUGUUGAUCCUAUUGUUCCUCUGUGGACUCAGGUUGAUUUCACUUUUGGGUGGAAUAUAAAUAAUGUGCCUAUGAACAUGGGUGUUCAAGUAUCUCUUUCAGAUCUUGCUUUCAGUUUUUUGGGUAUAAAAUGGGUAGAAGUGGAAUUGCUGGGUCAUAUGGUAAUUCUAUUUAAAUUUUUUGAGGAACCAUGAUAUUGUUUUCCAUAGCAAUUGUACCACUGUACAUUUCCACCAACAGUGCAUAAGUCUUCUGAUUUCUCCUCAUCAACACUUCUUAUUUUUUUAUUUUGCAUUUGAUAGUAGUCAUCUUAAAUGAGGUGAGGUGGAGUCAACAUUAUUUUCUGCUUGCUUCUUGUUUUUUGGUUUCAUUAAGAAGUUGAAAAUAAAUCUAACUAGAACAGUA
Long non-coding RNA from Ictidomys tridecemlineatus (thirteen-lined ground squirrel), 2744 nucleotides. RefSeq lists it as uncharacterized. The record is from RefSeq and is a predicted model, not a curated record. Lineage: Eukaryota; Metazoa; Chordata; Mammalia; Rodentia; Sciuridae.